ACUAGCUCUUCUUUUCUUUAUAGAUAGAAUAGCUAUAAGAACUAAUAUUAGGAGCUAUUAUAAAGGUUAAUAGUUACUCUAAUACGCCUAUAAAUAGCUUAUUAUAUAAAUUAUCGUUUAUUUAAUAAUACCUUAUUAUAUAGAUAAUUAUAAUAAUUCUAGAGCUAAUAUAUAUUAAAAAUCCUAAUUUCGGAAGGGAUAUAUUUAUUAGAUAUAAAAUUAAUACCUUUUAAGGCUCUCUUAAUAAUUUAUAAUAAUUUCUCGAAUUAUAUAGCCCUAUAUUAAUAAUAAUUUAUUUAAAUUUCUUCCUUAUUAAUUUUUAAUAUUAUAGUAUUAUCCUAAUAUAAUUAUAAUAGGUAAUAGAGGGUUAAGGCUCGACCCUAGAGAAGGAGCCUAAGAAAUAGCUAUUAUAUCUAAAGAAGGUAGUAAGAGCGUAAAUUACUUAAUCCCGACUUAGGGAGGUAAUAACGAUAAAUACCGAUAUAGGGCUCUUUUAAGUCCUAUAAUUAGAAUAAAUAUAAUUUAAAUCCCUUAAUAAGGAAUAAUUAAAGGGUAAAUCUAAUAUUAAUAGCUAUAAUAAUUCUAGCUCUAAUAGCGUAUAUUAAAGUUAUUAUAGUUAAAAAGCUUAUAAUUAAAGCUCGUCCUCUAAUUAGCUAGUCCGCUUUAUUAUAUAUAUUAGUUCGGCUAGGGCUUUACCUUCUUUAGAAUUAUAUCUCCUUUACUAAAAGUAUUAAGGAAAUAGGACGUUUAUUUUAGAAAAAUUAGAAUACUUUAAAUAAACUUAUACUCGAAUAUAUUAAUAUAGAAUAAUAGAAUAAGAUAUAUAAUCUUAUUUUAUUAAUUUCUAGGACUAUUAUAAUAAUUAAUAAGGAUAAUUAAGGGUAUUAAUAUUUAAUUAUUAAAAGUGAAAUUCUUAGAUCGAUUAAAGAUUAAUUAUUAUAAAAGUAUUUAUUAAAGAUAUUUUCAUUUAUUAAGAACGAAAAUUAAAGGAUCGAAGAUAAUUAGAUAUUAUUAUAGUCUUAAUUAUAAAUUAUAUUAAUUAGGGAUUAGACGGUAUUAUUUCUUAACCUAUUUAAUACUUUAUAAGAAAUUAAAGUAUUUAGGCUCUAGGGGGAGUAUAAUUAUAAAGCUAAAACUUAAAGAAAUUAAUAGAAAGGUACUAUUAAAAAUAAAUAUCUCUAUUUAGCUAUAAUUAACUCUACUCCUAAAAGCUACUUAAAAGGGUUAAAUAGUUACUCUUAAUAUCGUAUUAAAUAUAUAGCUAAUCUCCUUAAAGGUAAUACCCUUAAAUUAUAGGAAAUUCCUAAAGCUUAUACUCUAAAGCUAUCUAUAAAAAUAGUUUAAUAGUUAAAUUAAUUACCUCGAAUAUUAGAAUAAUAUAUAAGAUAUAAUAAUAGAUAAUUUAUAGCUAAGCCUCUGAAUCUCUUACGACUCUAUCUAUAUUUAUAGUAUCUACUUAUAAAUAAUUAAUUCUAAUUUAGAAUCGGCCUUUAAAUUAUAAGAAAUAUAAAGAAGGUUUAGAGAUUUAAUAAGGGUAAAUAAAUUUAUUAUUAUAAUAAUAAUAUAAAUAGAUUUAUUUAAAAUAAAGUCUAAGCUUAUAGGAAAUUAUAAAUAGCUUUAUAAUCGAAUAUAUAGCCCUAAAAUAGGAGCUUAUAGCUUAUAAAACCCUAUUAUAUUAAGGAUAGAAUAUUAUAAUUAUUACUCUUUAAUAAGGAAUCUCUAAUAAAUAUAAAUUAUUAGCUUAUAUUAAUUAUAUCCUUAUACUUUAUAUAUACCGCUUAUUGCUAUUACUAAUUAAAUAGCUUAGUAAGGCUUUUAGAUUAAUCUAGAAUAGGGGGCGACCCCUAUUCUAGAUUAGAAAGUUAUCUAAGCUUAAUUAUUUAGAGGAAGUAAAAGUUAUAAUAAGGUCUUUAUUAAUAAAUUAAUAAAGA
Molecule: ribosomal RNA, 1931 nt
Filed under: Verticillium dahliae
Lineage: Eukaryota; Fungi; Ascomycota; Sordariomycetes; Glomerellales; Plectosphaerellaceae
Description: SSU rRNA
Rfam family: Eukaryotic small subunit ribosomal RNA (bases 1-1109)
Source: RNAcentral